RNAcentral lists this ribosomal RNA (440 nucleotides) under uncultured bacterium. RNAcentral describes it as "partial 16S ribosomal RNA". It matches the Rfam family "Bacterial small subunit ribosomal RNA", at positions 338 to 795 of the family's 1533-position model. The record is from RNAcentral.
CCUACGGGUGGCAGCAGUGGGGAAUAUUGCACAAUGGGGGAAACCCUGAUGCAGCGACGCCGCGUGAGUGAAGAAGUAUUUCGGGAUGUAAAGCUCUAUCAGUAGGGAAGAGAAUGACGGUACCUGUCUAAGAAUCUCCGGCUAACUACGUGCCAGCAGCCGCGGUAAUACGUAGGGGGCAAGCGUUAUCCGGAUUUACUGGGUGUAAUGGGAGCGUAGACGGCUGGCCAAGUCAGAAGUGAAAGUCCGGGGCUCAACCCCGGAACGGCCUUGGAAACUGGCCGGCUGGAGUGCUGGAGAGGCAGGCGGAAUUCCUGGUGUAGCGGUGAAAUGCGUAGAUAUCAGGAGGAACACCGGUGGCGAAGGCAGCCUGCUGGACAGUAACUGACGUUGAGGCUCGAAAGCGUGGGGAGCAAACAGGAUUAGAUACCCGGGUAGUC